Small nucleolar RNA from Rattus norvegicus (Norway rat), 120 nucleotides. Ensembl annotates it as small nucleolar RNA SNORA17. The record is from Ensembl. NCBI's taxonomy places the organism in Eukaryota, Metazoa, Chordata, Mammalia, Rodentia, Muridae.
AUUGUACCCCUAGAUGGGAUGUGUCAAAAAGUACAUCAAUAGGUGACAGUGAGCAAAGAGGUUAUGCCUAUGCUUAGUGUUCUGAGCUGUGGAGAUCUAAUUGAUUAAUAGUCAAACGUG